This 67-nucleotide transfer RNA is filed under the name Megophrys sp. FH-2015. RNAcentral describes it as "tRNA-Ser". The record is from RNAcentral. Lineage: Eukaryota; Metazoa; Chordata; Amphibia; Anura; Megophryidae.
GAACCUGUGAGGACUACCAAGACACUGCUAAUUUCUUGUACCAAAGUUCAACUCUUUGGCAGGUUCG